Helianthus annuus (common sunflower) is the source of this 3454-nucleotide long non-coding RNA. RefSeq lists it as uncharacterized. The record is from RefSeq and is a predicted model, not a curated record. The transcript has 4 exons. NCBI's taxonomy places the organism in Eukaryota, Viridiplantae, Streptophyta, Magnoliopsida, Asterales, Asteraceae.
UAAUUUAAGCUAGUUAUGAACAAGUAAGGAUAGUCUUGGUCUUAAUAAUAUACAUAUUAUUCUUGAGGGGCCAAAUGUGUAAAGUGGCAAAACUUAAAACAUUAAAAGUAUAAAAAAAUUAAAAACACACAUAGAGUGUGCGUGUGUGUAUAUACGAUCGAUCAGGGACAGAGGGUGAGGUGAAACCCUAGUUUCACCAAAAUCCAUCAAAUUGAAGGGGGAUAGAAGGGCUAAACUAAUGCAUGAACCAAGAUUUUCGAUCACUUUAGCGUUUCUACCAUCAUGAACGUGUCAAGGAGAGGUCAAGCAUAGGAGGAUAACGGGUCAAGAUAAGGCAAGGUGACAAAUACACUUAUUGGAGUACUCGAGGUAAGUGAAUUUCGAUUCACUUUUUAGUAGGUUUAGUAGAUUUUAAUACUUAUGUUUAUGAAACAUCAUGAAAGAACAUGUAAUAAUCAGAAGUACAAAGCCAAUAAUGCCUCAUUAUUGAAGAAGGUUGUAUUUAAGCCGAAAGUAAAUUGGUGGGUUUAAACGGGUCGAAUUUUAUGUGCAUAUGUUGCGUAAUGUAAUGAAAUUCGUUAUGGUUAAGACCUUGGGUAAGAAAUUUUAGUCAUUAUGUAAGGGGAACAUUUCCCGGACCAUUAGGAACAAGUUUUAUAUGAUUCGGUUGUCGGUUAGUGAAUGAACGGAUUGUUUCGUGUUUGUGUAGGAAAUUUUAUAAGUAUAUGUGUAUAGGAAUCCAAAGGGCACGUGGGUUGAAUCAUAGAUUGUCUAUACUAUGUAAAGUUGUGAAUGUGACAUUCCGGCAUAAACCUACAUGUAAAAGAAGCUUGUGUAUAUAUUCGUGAUUAAUUGAUUGUGCGUAGGAAGGAACAUUGGCAUGUAUGAAGGUACGCAUGUAUAUAUAUAAGUGUAUAUAUAUAUGUAUGUAUGUAUGAUAAUAUUACAUUUUGGAAUGUGUAAUUUGGGCGUUACAAGUUGGUAUCAGAGCCCUGGUUUGAGGGAAAUCAAGUAUGAGGAGGCAAAUACUUGAACUCAAACCUGUGUGCUCUUGUGACGAGGAACCCGUACAAUCCAAGACUCGAUCAAGAUCUAAAGGUAGAAGCAAAUGUAAGUAUGAAUUUAAGUAUGUUUAUGAAGAAACUAACAUUAUGUUGUGUGUAAGAUAAGCAUAGUUGUUUGGAUGAGGAUGAUCCACGACUGUGGUCUCGGACUGACACCAAGGCAUGUAAUAAGACCAUUGCCCAGGUCAGUGAAAGAAUGUUCAUAAGCGAAAGCUCGUCACACGGAUGAACGAGGUCAAUACGAAACAUGGUAUGGAUGGGGACGAAGAGGACCGACUCGUUGCUGCAUGUUCAAGUACUGCACCAAGGUAGUAAGGUUAGCAAAUUAUUUAAUAUAUGAAGGUACGAUGCUCGAAUCCCUCAAACCUACGCUCUCGUGAAAGUGUAUUCGUUUCUAAGCGCCACGCAAGUAAGUGAUUUAAGGAUUUCGAGCUAUGCUUUUAGAUGAAAACGGAAAUGGGUUAUGGAUAAAUUACUAUUAUAACCUGGGUUGGGACGUUAUGGGAUGUUAGGGAAGGUUUCGGGACUGCCCGAGACCAUUUCUGGUUGGAAAAAGGACCCGGGAACAAAAAAAUUUUGGUCAAACAGCGUCUGCACACCAGAGAGCCCGUCGGCGAUGGCCUUUAUGCCGUCGGCGACGGCACCCCUCCACCUGACGCGCUAACUGUCUGUCUACGGGCAAUGUUUAGCGACGGGACCUUCCCGAGCCCGUCGGCGACGCACCAUGUGCCGUCGGCGACGGGUCCCCCUUAUCUGCUUAUGCUGAAAUUGUUUGUUUAUUAGGCUAAGGUCCUUAAUUCAGUUCUAGCAUUCAUUAAACUUUAGGAACACCCCAAGUUGAUUAUGAAGCUAAGAAAUUCAAGACAACUAUCAUGUUUUAAUGAUGUAUGUGCGGGAAGUUAUGUAUGCGAAUGAAUGAAAUAAGUAACACGUCUAGAAGGUUUGUAAAGAAAGAUUGGAUGAGUUUAUGAAAAUUUUACACUAUUAUUGAAAAAGUACCUCCAUAUGAAUAGGUAUGAUAUGUUUAAUAUGUACGAAUGAACGAGAUUGUAUGCGGAAAUGAAUAAAUUAAUGAUGACUAGGGAUUGGUUUUCGCAAGGAAGUUUGAAAUCUUGAUAAGUAUUAAUAAUAUAUCAGGAUGCUAGUUUCAAAUUAUGGACUAUGGGAUCUGUGAUUAGGCAAAUUCUCACAACAUGCUUAUGUAAGUCGUCCAAUGUACCUUGAAUGAGUGAGGGAACGAAGAAUAAAACUAGACGGGUUGUAGAAGAAAAGAAAGAGGUUUCGGGGACGAAACUUUCUUUAAGGGGGGUAGAUUUGUAACAACCCAAAUUCCAUGAGAAAUUUAAUUUAAGCUAGUUAUGAACAAGUAAGGAUAGUCUUGGUCUUAAUAAUAUACAUAUUAUUCUUGAGGGGCCAAAUGUGUAAAGUGGCAAAACUUAAAACAUUAAAAGUAUAAAAAAAUUAAAAACACACAUAGAGUGUGCGUGUGUGUAUAUACGAUCGAUCAGGGACAGAGGGUGAGGUGAAACCCUAGUUUCACCAAAAUCCAUCAAAUUGAAGGGGGAUAGAAGGGCUAAACUAAUGCAUGAACCAAGAUUUUCGAUCACUUUAGCGUUUCUACCAUCAUGAACAUGUCAAGGAGAGGUCAAGCAUAGGAGGAUAACGGGUCAAGAUAAGGCAAGGUGACAAAUACACUUAUUGGAGUACUCGAGGUAAGUGAAUUUCGAUUCACUUUUUAGUAGGUUUAAUAGAUUUUAAUACUUAUGUUUACGAAACAUCAUGAAAGAACAUGUAAUAAUCAGAAGUACAAAGCCAAUAAUGCCUCAUUAUUGAAGAAGGUUGUAUUUAAGCCGAAAGUAAAUUGGUGGGUUUAAACGGGUCUAAUUUUAUGUGCAUAUGUUGCGUAAUGUAAUGAAAUUCGUUAUGGUUAAGACCUUGGGUAAGAAUUUUUAGUCAUUAUGUAAGGGGAACAUUUCCCGGACAAUUAGGAACAAGUUUUAUAUGAUUCGGUUGUCGGUUAGUGAAUGAACGGAUUGUUUCGUGUUUGUGUAGGAAAUUUUAUAAGUAUAUGUAUAUAGGAAUCCAAAGGGCACGUGGGUUGAAUCAUAGAUUGUCUAUACUAUGUAAAGUUGUGAAUGUGACAUUCCGGCAUAAACCUACAUGUAAAAGAAGCUUGUGUAUAUAUUCGUGAUUAAUUGAUUGUGCGUAGGAAGGAACAUUGGCAUGUAUGAAGGUACGCAUGUAUAUAUAUAAGUGUAUAUAUAUAUGUAUGUAUGUAUGUAUGAUAAUAUUACAUUUUGGAAUGUGUAAUUUGGGCGUUACAUAUUCACACCUCGAAAAACUUAUUCUUGCACUAAUUAUGGCAUCUACUAAACUAAGACAUUAUUUUG